GGACCAUCAUGUCGGUCGUGCCUCGGUACGUACUGGUAUUGUUGGUUUCUCCCUUCUGAUGAAUCGCGAUGUCAUUAAUUUGGUGUCGUGGGGAAUCAGGACUGUUACUUUGAAAAAAUUAGAGUGUUUAAAGCAGGCUAACGCCUGAAUACAUUAGCAUGGAAUAAUGAAAUAGGACGUUCGAUCCUAUUUUGUUGGUUUCUAGGAUUGACGUA
RNAcentral lists this ribosomal RNA (215 nucleotides) under Campeiostachys nutans. Its description in RNAcentral is "Elymus nutans partial small subunit ribosomal RNA". The stretch from base 37 to 215 matches the Rfam family "Eukaryotic small subunit ribosomal RNA", at positions 684 to 864 of the family's 1831-position model. Lineage: Eukaryota; Viridiplantae; Streptophyta; Magnoliopsida; Poales; Poaceae. The record is from RNAcentral.